AAGACCCGGCGGCGGUGCGCGGCGGCGCCCGGCGGAGCGCUCCAGUCUUGCCCGAGGUUGACGCGUAGGAGGGCCGACGUGCUUACGUCUACCCAUCGCCGCUGCUGCGGACUAGCGGACAGCGUUCGGCUGAUGGCGUCAUUUCCGCGAGUCAUCUGAGGAAGACCAUCUCCUCCUGAGCUGUUCUGAAGAGAAGAAGAAAAAGUCAAAGCUUCUUUCCUUCCCUGGAUCCUAAAGUUCUCACCAAAAUGAAAUUACCAGCACCCCCAAAUGUGCUGUAUAAUUCCUUCUACUUGCUCCUUGAAUUCUAUAUAUCUGCAAUUUAAUCUCAUGUCCAUAUUCUGUCAUGAAAGAUUCAACCUGAAGAUCCUACCAUGAAAAGAUCACUUGCUUUUCUGGACUGUGUAGCAAAAGUAACGUGGAGUGGUAUUGGUCAGACUUUGGUACCAAUAUGAGCUUUAUCACUUAAUAGUUUAUGUAACAACCUCAGGCAAGUUACUGAAUUUCUGAAUUUCAGCUCUCGCAUUUGUGGGAGACACCAUUAGUGGCCUAAAUGAUAUUCAAUGAAUUCUUUCUCUCUUAUUAAAACACAAUUUUUCUUGGGGUGGUAAUGUGCCCUUUAAAAAGAGCUACAGUAAAAGAAAAAUAAAAUAAAAAAUAAAAAGAGAUACAUUUCCUAGCAUCCCUGUAACUAGGGUGAUUAUACAACAGUUCUAAACAGUAAGUUAAAAGUAGAAGUUACUGUUGGAUCUUCUGAGAAAGACCUUUGGCUUACUCACCUAGCUCAGACCUUUUGCCUAUUCUAUUCUUCCUGUCUGAACUCUGAUCAAUGCUGGAGGUGGAGCAACCACCUCUGGCCAGUCUGGAAGACUGCCUUUGGACUUAGUUUCACAGAAAAAAGAAAAAACUCUUUAUUUGGUUAAGCCAACAUAAUCAUGUCUCUAUUGUGACCAGCCAAAGGUGCUCCCUAACAGGACUUCCCUGGUGGUGCAGUGGUUAAGAAUCUGCCUGCCAGUGCAAAGGACACGGAUUCGAUCCCUGGUCCAGGGAGAUCCCACAUGCCGCGGAGCAACUAAGCCUGUGAGCCACAACUACUAAGCCUGCGCUCUACAACCCGUGAGCCACAACUACUGAGCCCCCGAGCCACAACUACUGAGCCCGCGUGCCGCAACUACUGAAGCCCAUACACCUAGAGCCCGUGCUCCACAACAAGAGAAGCCACUGCAAUGAGAAGCCCACACAUUGCAAAGAAGAGUAGCCCCUGCUCACCGGAACCAGAGAAAGCCCGUGCGCAGCAACGAAGACCCAACACAGCCAAAUUUUAAUUAAUUAAUUAAUUUAAAAAACAAACAAACAAACAAAAAAGAUGCUCCCUAACAGAUACACCAUCUUGAAAGUUAAGGAUAAAGCUUAUGCUUCAGGAUUUUAAAGCUCAUUAUUAAUAAAACUAAUUAUAAAAAUUAACAUAUAUUGAGAAGCAUAUAUCAGACUCUGUUUAAGAUCUUAACACGGGUUAACUCACUAAAUCCUCAUAACAAUUCAGUUAGGUAGCUACUACUACUAUUCCCUCAGAUUAAAAAAAUGAAAAACUGAAAGUCUCAGUAACCUGUCCAGCUAAUAAAGAGGAAGUAGGAUUCAAACCCUAGCAUAUGCUCCUAACCACAAGUCCAAGCUAUAAUAAUAAAAAAACACUUACUUCAUGCCAGGCAAAAUGCCAAGUGCUUUAACCAAAAAAUAUAAAGCACUAAGUCCAAUGUCCAGUGCUCAUUAAAAU
Long non-coding RNA from Physeter macrocephalus (sperm whale), 1774 nucleotides. RefSeq lists it as uncharacterized. NCBI's taxonomy places the organism in Eukaryota, Metazoa, Chordata, Mammalia, Artiodactyla, Physeteridae. The record is from RefSeq and is a predicted model, not a curated record. The transcript is spliced from 3 exons.